RNAcentral lists this ribosomal RNA (486 nucleotides) under uncultured soil bacterium. Its description in RNAcentral is "bacterial SSU rRNA". It matches the Rfam family "Bacterial small subunit ribosomal RNA", at positions 26 to 532 of the family's 1533-position model. The record is from RNAcentral.
AGGACGAACGCUGGCGGCGUGCUUAACACAUGCAAGUCGAACGGAAAGGCCCUGCUUUUGUGGGGUGCUCGAGUGGCGAACGGGUGAGUAACACGUGAGUAACCUGCCCUUGACUUUGGGAUAACUUCAGGAAACUGGGGCUAAUACCGGAUAGGAGCUCCUGCUGCAUGGUGGGGGUUGGAAAGUUUCGGCGGUUGGGGAUGGACUCGCGGCUUAUCAGCUUGUUAGGUGGGGUAGUGGCUUACCAAGGCUUUGACGGGUAGCCGGCCUGAGAGGGUGACCGGCCACAUUGGGACUGAGAUACGGCCAGACUCCUACGGGAGGCAGCAGUGGGGAAUAUGCACAAGUGGGCGGAAGCCUGAUGCAGCAACGCCGCGUGCGGGAUGACGGCUUCGGUGUAACCGCUUCGCUGUGACGAGCGUGAGUGACGGUAAGUAGGUAAAGAAGCAACCGGACUAACGUACGUGACCGAGCGACGCCGACGGU